RNAcentral lists this long non-coding RNA (826 nucleotides) under Dromaius novaehollandiae (emu). RNAcentral's name for it is "lncRNA (ENSDNVG00000007484.1)". Lineage: Eukaryota; Metazoa; Chordata; Aves; Casuariiformes; Dromaiidae. The record is from RNAcentral.
CCACAGUAAUGUAACAGCUAUUGCUUGUUCUGGGUUAACAACUGAACUAGCUGUGAAAAACUACCUAAGUAGGAAAAUCUGGAAGAAAAUACUGAUCUUUAAAAAACACUAUAUUAUCUUGUAGGUAUACUGAUCCCUCAUUGCAUGUACUGCUCUUCAUCUGUUUUAAUCCUUAUGUUGAAAAAUAACCUGGACUUUCAGCAAUCCAGUUUAUCUUCAUUAAAAAGCUAACCCACUGUUCCUGAGGUUCUGCACCCAGAAACCUUUGCCCUGUGUAUCAUUAGACUGUCCCAUCUCCUGAAGUUCCCCAAUUUCACAGCUGGUUGUCCUGAUGGCAAUGCACUGAACAGGCUGGCCAGCCCUCUCUCCCUUGCGCCUAGAGAACGUCCUGCCAGAAGUGAAUCAAGGCUGCUCUCUGUUGGCCUGCAGCACUCUUUCUUGGAGCAUGAUGCGGUGGAGGAAGCCCCCACGCCUCAUCUGGCAGGUCAGCAUGGGAUCUGGCGCAUGGCCUUGCGGGAGGAUGGAGAGCCCCAGGGGAGCCCACCCGGGCCCUGCUAGACCAUACCAUGAGCAAGACAUGGCUGCAAGCAUGCUCAGUAGUGCGUUAUUGCCUGCAAAGCAGUGGGAAGAUCAAACAGCUUUUCAGACAGCUGCUCAACAUUGGUCACUGCCUUACAAGAACAAUGAACCCAUCAGUGCAGCUGAACAAGACUCUACAUCACCCUACGGAUGCAGAGGUGCCCACCUGAUGAUGUGGGAAACCCAGCAGCAGUCGUUACUGCGCAGCUGGAUGUGUUUGGUACGUGGCUGCCUCGGGCUCCCAUGA